GUUUGACCCAAGGGCUCCCCAAGGUGUCUCGAACCCUAACAUCUUGAAAUCCAUUUCUCCAAAAUCUCACGCAAAGGCUUUACGUUCCAAGAAGAAAGGAGAGAAGAUGUUGAAGAAGACUUCCAUGGCGGUUCCAUCCUUUCGGAUCUUCGUCUCCCCUUUGCGCUUGAAUGGCAAGACUUGUAGAUCGUGGUAGUUCUACUCAGCAAUCGUUGUCGCAGUGCCAGCACCUGCUAAGUUAGCUAGGAACAUCAAUGACAAUACCUAUUAUGUGGCUGGAAUUUGAGAAACGCAUGGAGGUCGCUAAGAAGACCGAAAAUGAAAGAUGGCUAUUCUUUUGUUGUAGUAAUGAUUGCAGUCAUUUCAAGUGGAACGACGUUUCGUUUGGUGGAAUUAAACAUGUGCAACUUGAUUGUGAGUCCAAUGGUGAGUCAUGAUAUACUUGUUUGGGUAGCUCUCAUCCCAAGUAUCCAAUUGAAGAUUUUUCCCAUGUAUUGAAGAAUUUGGUUCGCAUAAUCGCUAUGAAUAUGUGGAAAUCUCAUCAAGUUUUUUCUAAUUACACUUUUAUAUGCAUUCGAACAUUGUAGCCUUUAGCUUUGCACUAUAUAAUAAUAAUAAUAUGUUUUGGUUGGACCUCCUUCCAGGCUCCAUUAGGUGACAAAGCUUUUGUACAAGAUAUGGAGUGAAGAUCGUUUAAAAACACUUGAUUUGUAGUUCCCAAUAGUUCUCCAUCAAGGGAAUUCUUAAUUGGUAGGUA
Long non-coding RNA from Olea europaea var. sylvestris, 757 nucleotides. RefSeq lists it as uncharacterized. The transcript has 2 exons. The record is from RefSeq and is a predicted model, not a curated record. Lineage: Eukaryota; Viridiplantae; Streptophyta; Magnoliopsida; Lamiales; Oleaceae.